Pomacea canaliculata is the source of this 2921-nucleotide RNA transcript. RefSeq lists it as uncharacterized. The record is from RefSeq and is a predicted model, not a curated record. The transcript is spliced from 8 exons. Lineage: Eukaryota; Metazoa; Mollusca; Gastropoda; Architaenioglossa; Ampullariidae.
CAUUUCCCUCUCCUGCUGUUAGUGUGUCUGUGAUGUUACCAGAUAAAAUAGUUUCCUGAUAUAGAAUAUAAGGGGGAGCUAACAUGAACAUGCACACGCGCACACAAACAUUCAUUCCCAGCACACAUCCUCACCCAAAUGAAAGAUAUUUCCCCCUUUCUGGUCUUAGGAGUACACAGAUAUUGUAAUAAAACUAUCAUGGUGUUGAUCGAAGUAGAUUGGCACCACCUCAAUUAUUUUUACAAAGGCGCCGCUGUAUAAUUGACAAUUUUUUUUUCAAUCAUCAGUAGACCUGUUUAGAAUGAAAGGAAACAGAUUCAGGCACCUUAUUUUUUUACAACCCACACCAAGAGUAUGUGAUAAAUUAGAAGUUUAAUUCAACGCCCGCCAAGAAACUGACGUAGCAAGCAGUUUGUGCGACUUAAUUUUCUCUCCCUGCUUGUAAACAACUAUAAUCCCCUUUAUUUUUUGUUUUUGUUUUUUUCCCACAGGGCCGCCAUUGGUUUGCGCCAAGCUCAAACUGACCGCACCAACUUGACUUUUUUUUCCAAAAGGAAACACAUCUCCAGUUCGCACUGUCCAUUGUCCCUGAAAACACCUCUUGGUAUGACACUCUGGGCCCAGCUGCACGGAGAAGGCACAGCACUACGAAGGACUUAGGAAGGUGUGAAAAUGAUUAACUCCAAAGAGAUGCCUAAGUUUGCAGCCUGUUUCGUGAGCAGUCGGCUAAGGGCUGAGACUACAGAAUGUGUUUGAGAGACAGGCCGGUGGGAAAGCAGUCAACACGAAGAAAGCAUGGCCGACCUUUUGUACAAACACCGGCUGUCCCCUGCCUGACAUUCCCGCAGCCCCUCGCGUCACUUUUGUCUCGUCGCUCCCGUCGCAGGCAUUUCUUUCCGAUGCUUCAUCGUCCGCAGCCAGGAGGCGAGAGAAAGAGGAAGAAGUGGAAGAAAGGGGUGACCUCUUGAGAGUUCAGCCCCCUUAUAGUGACCAGCAAGUCUAGCUGCGACUAAAAAAAUGUAAAUCUGAACUUCACAACAGUGGAAGUCUUUCCACACUACACAAAGGAAUUAAAGCUUCUCCCUAUCUGUGGCCACUCCUGCGGACUCUUCAGGAUUUUUCAAAGGAGAAUCUUAAACAAAAUUUCCACCUAGCUUACGAGAUUUCACUCUUCCAAAAUGGACGAGAUUCGAUUUGUAGCGACCCUACUAGCAUGUUUAGUAGCGCUGACGUCACGCAGCGUGUGCGCAUGCCCACCGGACUCCGCCUUGCGUGCGCAGCAGUGCUUCACUGACCUCGCCAGAGGUGUUUCCGGCACCAGGGCGGAAAGGUUCGAUCCCAGCGCCACCGGAAAUGACGAAAGCAACGCUGUUGGUGGACAAAACAGUAGAAGCAGCGGGUUGCGACCAGAUCAGCCUCUGUAUCGGGGGGAUGCCAGCGGCAUCAUACCCCUGGACUAUCGGAAAAUUCGAGAAUACUGCGACGAGGGAGGUCACAUGAGAAGAUUUCUGAGCUUGCGUGGACAACCUGCUGACCUUCUGCCCUGAACUGCCACAAGAUGGCGCCCUCCGUAAGCUCAUCAACCCAGAACACGUGCGGACAAGUGUGCCGAAAUCUUUGUAACAAUGUGGACAAGGUGGAAGCAGGGUCAGAGUGCAUGAACAACGAGAUGAACCGUGGGAGUGAGUGCAAGCGACGGGCGUACAACAUGAUAAAGCCAGGUGCACACCAGACCAUGGCCAACUCCACGUCAACAUUUAUCACGCAAUGCAGGUUCUUCCGCGCGCUCGUUGAGUGCCAGCGUGUGGCUGUCUCCACCAGCUGCAGCACUGACCUCGGUGACCUCCACGCGGACUUCCUGCUGUCCUUCGUUCCGGACACAUGCCUGGACAGUGCCACCCUCGACGCCAUCGGCCUCCAGGAGAGCAAAGGUCAGCUGUCAGACCUUCUGCUGGGGAAGGUGCAGGGCCAGGGACCCGAGGACGAGAACAAGCUGCGCCAACUGGUACAUGGGAAAGUAAAGGGAGGGAGGAAAUCGCCUGAAGUCAAAAAGCCGAAGGCGACUGAAGACGCGCCAGUAGAGGGAAAAGAUACAACAAGUAGACAAAGAUGAUACAUUUGUCACACUUCCAUCCGAUGAGGUCUCCAUCAAAGCAACUACUGAGUCAGGGAACACAACUUCCGUGCCAGCAUCGCCUGGAGUUGAAUCGGAGGAAAUUAGCCCCUUGUCGUCUGCUUCUUUCAUUUUUAUGAAAUCGUCGGUAUUAUUUUACGUGGUUUCCUUUAAUCAUGUUUUGAAGAUGUGGGGACAGGGUUAAACUUAAAGGUCAAGAACAUUUAAUGUUUCUGCCUUCUACUGGUCAAAAACAACAUUUUUGUACCGGUUUCGCUCAAUGACCUGGUUACUGUAACAGAUGUUCACAGUUUGUAUUCGUUGAUAUUCGUUUGCUUCGAAUAAAAAAAUGUCUUGGGGUAGUUCUUUCCUGAAUUUCGUGCCUAUGGUUCCUUAUCUGGUGUGUGUUUUUAUUUGGAUGUAAUUUAGAAACAAAGAUUUGUAGAACUGUACAACAUUUUCAUAAGUGCAUUUUCAUAUUUUCACCCUUGUUUGACUUGUUUUUGAAAGUAUGAUUUUUUGCAUUAAUUGAUUUUUGUCUUCUUGGCCAGUAAUCACGCCUAGAAAUUAUGCAUUCGAGCUGAACUAAUUUUUUGUGGAAGAAUUCUAGUUAUUUUGCCUGCUGCUUGUGGUUUCUUUCCUUUUUGAUGUCUGUGUUUUAUUUUUUUCUUCCUUUCAACUCAUCCCUUUUUCCGAAGACAUGGUGGGUAAAACAUUGUUUCUGUUAAACAGUAUUCUUUACAAGUUGUUACUCGAGAAGAAGUGUCUUUGAAGCAUUUCACAUGUAAAUUAAAUUAAUAACUUGUAA